CCCGCAACGAGCGCAAUCCUUGUCAUUAGUUGCUACGAAAGGGCACUCUGAUGAGACUGCCUGUGACAAACCGGAUGAAGGUGGGGUUUCUCUCAAGUCCUCAUGGCCCUUAUAGGUGGGGCUACACACGUCAUACAAUGGCUGGUACAGAGGGUUGCCAACCCGCGAGGGGGAGCUAAUCCCAUAAAACCACUCGUAGUCCGGAUCGCAUUCUGCAACUCGACUGCGUGAACUUUGAAUUCCUUUUAAUCCCCGAUCAAAAUGUCGCGGUUAAUAUUUC
This 280-nucleotide ribosomal RNA is filed under the name beta proteobacterium October_NA4E6. RNAcentral's name for it is "partial 16S ribosomal RNA". It matches the Rfam family "Bacterial small subunit ribosomal RNA", at positions 1086 to 1368 of the family's 1533-position model. The record is from RNAcentral. Lineage: Bacteria; Pseudomonadati; Pseudomonadota; Betaproteobacteria.